GGAGAAGCAAAGUGAUGAGCAUUACUGGCUGGAGCCCCAAAGAGGCACGCGUGUGGGUGCGCGUAUGUGUGUGUGUGUGUGAACCUGUGUCCUUGUCUGUGCGUGCACAUGUAUGUGUGGGAGUACAAGUGAGUGUGACUGGUUGUAGGGAGCUAGUUAUGUGCCUGCUUUUAGAUCAUGACAGUCAAACUGAUAAGAUCUGAUUGCUUC
Molecule: small nucleolar RNA, 210 nt
Filed under: Physeter macrocephalus (sperm whale)
Lineage: Eukaryota; Metazoa; Chordata; Mammalia; Artiodactyla; Physeteridae
Description: Physeter catodon (sperm whale) Small nucleolar RNA ZL1 (ENSPCTG00005012282.1)
Rfam family: Small nucleolar RNA ZL1
About the family: Host gene TRRAP.
Source: Rfam by way of RNAcentral